RNAcentral lists this non-coding RNA (61 nucleotides) under Kluyvera ascorbata. The record is from RNAcentral. Lineage: Bacteria; Pseudomonadati; Pseudomonadota; Gammaproteobacteria; Enterobacterales; Enterobacteriaceae.
GGUUUUUCCCCCAAGGAUUUACCGGCUAUUGAGGCCCUGACUGUUACAGCAGUCGGGGCUU